GAUGAACGCUGGCGGCGUGCCUAAUACAUGCAAGUCGAGCGAACAGACAAGGAGCUUGCUCCUUUGACGUUAGCGGCGGACGGGUGAGUAACACGUGGGUAACCUACCUAUAAGACUGGGAUAGCUUCGGGAAACCGGAGCUAAUACCGGAUAAUAUUUCGAACCGCAUGGUUCGAUAGUGAAAGAUGGUUUUGCUAUCACUUAUAGAUGGACCCGCGCCGUAUUAGCUAGUUGGUAAGGUAACGGCUUACCAAGGCGACGAUACGUAGCCGACCUGAGAGGGUGAUCGGCCACACUGGAACUGAGACACGGUCCAGACUCCUACGGGAGGCAGCAGUAGGGAAUCUUCCGCAAUGGGCGAAAGCCUGACGGAGCAACGCCGCGUGAGUGAUGAAGGUCUUCGGAUCGUAAAACUCUGUUAUUAGGGAAGAACAUACGUGUAAGUAACUAUGCACGUCUUGACGGUACCUAAUCAGAAAGCCACGGCUAACUACGUGCCAGCAGCCGCGGGAAUACGUAGGUGGCAAGCGUUAUCCCGAAUUAUUGGGCGUAAAGCGCGCGUAGGCGGUUUUUUAAAUCUGAUGUGAAAGCCCACGGCUCAACCCGGGAGGGUCAUUGGAAACCGGAAAACUUGAGUGCAGAAGAGGAAAGUGGAUUUCCAUGUGUAGCGGUGUGAUGCGCAGAGAUAUGGAGGAACACCUGGUGGGGAAGGGGACUUUUUGGUCUGUAACUGACGCUGAUGUGGGAAAGCGUGGGGAUCAACCAGGAUUAGAUACCCUGGUCCUCCACGCCGUAAACGAUGAGUGCUAAGUGUUAGGGGGUUUCCGCCCCUUAGUGCUGCAGCUAACGCAUUAAGCACUCCGCCUGGGGAGUACGACCGCAAGGUUGAAACUCAAAGGAAUUGACGGGGACCCGCACAAGCGGUGGAGCAUGUGGUUUAAUUCGAAGCAACGCGAAGAACCUUACCAAAUCUUGACAUCCUUUGACAACUCUAGAGAUAGAGCUUUCCCCUUCGGGGGACAAAGUGACAGGUGGUGCAUGGUUGUCGUCAGCUCGUGUCGUGAGAUGUUGGGUUAAGUCCCGCAACGAGCGCAACCCUUAAGCUUAGUUGCCAUCAUUAAGUUGGGCACUCUAAGUUGACUGCCGAUGACAAACCGGAGGAAGGUGGGGAUGACGUCAAAUCAUCAUGCCCCUUAUGAUUUGGGCUACACACGUGCUACAAUGGACAAUACAAAGGGCAGCGAAACCGCGAGGUCAAGCAAAUCCCAUAAAGUUGUUCUCAGUUCGGAUUGUAGUCUGCAACUCGACUACAUGAAGCUGGAAUCGCUAGUAAUCGUAGAUCAGCAUGCUACGGUGAAUACGUUCCCGGGUCU
RNAcentral lists this ribosomal RNA (1373 nucleotides) under uncultured bacterium. RNAcentral's name for it is "bacterial SSU rRNA". It matches the Rfam family "Bacterial small subunit ribosomal RNA", at positions 28 to 1381 of the family's 1533-position model. The record is from RNAcentral.